CGCGCAGGCGGCUGGCCAAGUCCGAUGUGAAAGCUUCCGGCUUAACUGGAAAACGGCAUCGGAUACUGGUCGGCUGGAAGGUGGGAGAGGGUAGCGGAAUUCCCGGUGUAGUGGUGAAAUGCGUAGAUAUCGGGAAGAACACCAGUGGCGAAAGCGGCUACCUGGCCCACUCUUGACGCUGAGGCGCGAAAGCUAGGGGAGCAAACG
RNAcentral lists this ribosomal RNA (207 nucleotides) under uncultured bacterium. Its description in RNAcentral is "partial 16S ribosomal RNA". It matches the Rfam family "Bacterial small subunit ribosomal RNA", at positions 568 to 774 of the family's 1533-position model. The record is from RNAcentral.